UACGGAGGGGGCGAGCGUUAUUCGGAAUUAUUGGGCGUAAAGGGCGCGUAGGCGGCUGUACAAGUCAAAGGUGAAAUCCCUCGGCUCAACUGAGGAACUGCCUUUGAAACUGUACGGCUUGAGGCCGGGAGGGGGUAGCGGAAUUCCCAAUGUAGCGGUGAAAUGCGUAGAUAUGUGGAGGAACACCGAUGGCGAAGGCAGCCCCCUGGGCCAACACUGACGCUCAGGCACGAAAGCGUGGGGAGCAAACAGG
This 253-nucleotide ribosomal RNA is filed under the name uncultured bacterium. Its description in RNAcentral is "partial 16S ribosomal RNA". It matches the Rfam family "Bacterial small subunit ribosomal RNA", at positions 524 to 776 of the family's 1533-position model. The record is from RNAcentral.